Molecule: ribosomal RNA, 443 nt
Filed under: uncultured bacterium
Lineage: Bacteria
Description: partial 16S ribosomal RNA
Rfam family: Bacterial small subunit ribosomal RNA
Source: RNAcentral
CCUACGGGAGGCAGCAGUGGGGAAUAUUGGGCAAUGGAGGAAACUCUGACCCAGCAACGCCGCGUGAAUGAUGAAGGUCUUCGGAUUGUAAAGUUCUUUUCUAAGGGAAGAAGAAAGUGACGGUACCUUAGGAAUAAGCCUCGGCUAACUACGUGCCAGCAGCCGCGGUAAUACGUAGGAGGCAAGCGUUAUCCGGAAUGACUGGGCGUAAAGGGUGCGUAGGUGGUUUGACAAGUUGGUAGCGUAACUCCGAGGCUUAACCUCGGCACUACUACCAAAACUGUUGGACUCGAGUGCAGGAGGGGCAAAUGGAAUUCCUAGUGUAGCGGUGGAAUGCGUAGAUAUCACGAGGAACCCCGAUUGCGAAGGCAGCCUGCCGGGGUGCGACUGACGCUGAGGCUCGAAGGUGCGGGUAUCAAACAGGAUUAGAUACCCGAGUAGUC